UACAGGGGGUGCAAACGUUGCUCGGAAUCAUUGGGCGUAAAGCGCACGUAGGCGGUCUGUUAUGUCGGAUGUGAAAGCCCUUGGCUCAACUGAGGAAGUGCAUCCGAAACUGGCAGGCUAGAGUACUAAAGAGGGUCGCGGAAUUCCCGGUGUAGAGGUGAAAUUCGUAGAUAUCGGGAGGAACACCAGUGGCGAAGGCGGCUCACUGGCCCGGUACUGACGCUGAGGUGCGAAAGCGUGGGGAGCAAACAGG
RNAcentral lists this ribosomal RNA (253 nucleotides) under uncultured bacterium. RNAcentral describes it as "partial 16S ribosomal RNA". It matches the Rfam family "Bacterial small subunit ribosomal RNA", at positions 524 to 776 of the family's 1533-position model. The record is from RNAcentral.